UACAGAGGAGCCAAGCGUUGUCCGGAUUGACUGGGCGUAAAGCGCACGCAGGCGGCUGUGCGCGUGGGGUGUGAAAUCUGGCCGCUUAACGGCCAGGCGCCAUCCCAUACGGCACGUCUGGAGGGCUGCAGAGGUCGAUGGAAUUGCCGGUGUAGUGGUGAAAUGCGUAGAGAUCGGCAGGAACACCCAGGGGGAAACCAGUCGACUGGGCAGCAACUGACGCUGAGGUGCGAGAGCGUGGGGAGCGAACCGG
RNAcentral lists this ribosomal RNA (253 nucleotides) under uncultured bacterium. RNAcentral's name for it is "partial 16S ribosomal RNA". It matches the Rfam family "Bacterial small subunit ribosomal RNA", at positions 524 to 776 of the family's 1533-position model. The record is from RNAcentral.